UGGGGGCUCUGCGAUCUCCCCAUGAGGCGACAUGCCCAAGUAUCGC
RNAcentral lists this non-coding RNA (46 nucleotides) under unclassified sequences. The record is from RNAcentral.